UGGGGGAUAUUGCACAAUGGGCGAAAGCCUGAUGCAGCGACGCCGCGUGGGGGAUGAAGGCUUUCGGGUUGUAAACCUCUUUCGCUAUCGAACAAGGCCCGCUUAGGGUGGGUUGAGGGUAGGUGGAGAAGAAGCGCCGGCUAACUACGUGCCAGCAGCCGCGGUAAUACGUAGGGCGCGAGCGUUGUCCGGAAUUAUUGGGCGUAAAGGGCUUGUAGGCGGCUUGUUGCGCCUGCUGUGAAAACGCGGGGCUUAACUUCGCGCGUGCAGUGGGUACGGGCAGGCUUGAGUGUGGUAGGGGUGACUGGAAUUCCAGGUGUAGCGGUGGAAUGCGCAGAUAUCUGGAGGAACACCGAUGGCGAAGGCAGGUCACUGGGCCAUUACUGACGCUGAGGAGCGAAAGCAUGGGUAGCGAACUGG
RNAcentral lists this ribosomal RNA (420 nucleotides) under bacterium. RNAcentral's name for it is "partial 16S ribosomal RNA". It matches the Rfam family "Bacterial small subunit ribosomal RNA", at positions 355 to 776 of the family's 1533-position model. The record is from RNAcentral.